This 320-nucleotide ribosomal RNA is filed under the name uncultured eukaryote. RNAcentral's name for it is "partial 18S ribosomal RNA". It matches the Rfam family "Eukaryotic small subunit ribosomal RNA", at positions 1470 to 1796 of the family's 1831-position model. The record is from RNAcentral.
CCCCUAGAUGUUCUGGGCCGCACGCGCGCUACACUGAACAGUUCAACAAGUCUUAACCUUGGCCGAUAGGUCUGGGUAAUCUUUGAACGCUGUUCGUGAUUGGGAUGGACCUUUGCAAUUAUGGGUCUUCAACGAGGAAUUCCUAGUAAACGCAAGUCAUCAGCUUGCAUUGAUUACGUCCCUGCCCUUUGUACACACCGCCCGUCGCACCUACCGAUUGAAUGGUCCGGUGAAAUCUCGGGACGGCGGCUCGGUCGCUUGCGUCCGACUGCUGAAACUUGAUUAAACCAUAUCAUUUAGAGGAAGGUGAANUCGUANCA